Lolium perenne is the source of this 2152-nucleotide long non-coding RNA. RefSeq lists it as uncharacterized. Lineage: Eukaryota; Viridiplantae; Streptophyta; Magnoliopsida; Poales; Poaceae. The record is from RefSeq and is a predicted model, not a curated record.
ACAACAACCAAGGAAUGGCUCAGAUUAAGCACUUCAAAGCCAACGCCCCAGAUUUAAUGAAGAUAAAAUUUGGAAAAAACGUUCGGUCCAUCGGGCAGAUUUAUCCCCGUAUCGGUUACUCCCAAUUUAAACAAAAUUCCCAGAAGUAAAAAAAAAGAAAAAAAAAAGUGGUGGUUACGAUCUGAAAAUGGCUCAGGAGUAUUAAGAGUUCCAGAAGUGCACACGACUUUAAUUAGUCUAAACGAAGUCCUGCACGCAUCCCUCAUAAAAAAAGUGUUACACGCAUAGCUCACGGCGCGGAAAAAUUGCAACCGCAUCCAGCAACCGCAUAGGCAAUCACCUCGAUCUCUUGCCUCAGCUAUGGCCGCCGCCAUCUCCAACACUGUCAGCAUAUCAUGGAGCCUCUAUGUCUACGGUCAGCGAACGUUGGAUGGGCGUUUCUGGACUCAUCUUCUCUCCCUGUGAUCUGCAAUUGAAGAUCACGUCCUCCUGGUCUCACAUGGCCCUGCUCUCCUACUGCCACUGAAGUUCACGCGCCUCAAGCAUCGUCAACGGCCGUGAGCUGCGUAGCCACGGGCUCUAGAAAUUAGACGGUCAUCGUUGCAACCAUGUCGAUCUGCGACUCUCCCGUUAAUAGAUUCUUUCACAUUGAUCUUGAAGUCUGACAUUGUGUGCCUCUGACGGCCGCGAUCAGCAGAAGGUUUGCUAUGGCCGGCGGCAAAUUCGCAUCCAUCACAGCUAGCACGGCCAGCGCUCUUUCACAUUGCUCUUCAAGUCUGACAUUGUGUGCCUCUGACGGCGGCGAUCAGCAGAAGGUUUGCUAUGGCCGGCGGCAAAUUCUCAUCCAUCAGAGCUAGCGCGGCCAGCGCCCUUUACUCGGGUCUAGAUUCUAGAACCAAUAUCUUGAUUAGAGAUUACAGAUUACAGAACUGUUGUUCUUUUUUGUCCUGCACUUCUCAUCCAAUCUUUGAUUUAUUUCCAUCUUAUUGGUAGCAUCGCUGGUGCAAGAAGUUGGACUGGUAGUUCAAGUCUUGACCAGACUGGGAUGAAAGAGAUUAGAUCAGGUCCGACUCACGAGUGCCACUAUAGGCAGCGAAAGUUGGAUCAUUAUUGGUGCUUUGACAUUGAACUUGCAGUCUGAAGGCGUUGUCUGAAGGCGUUGUCAGGAUCGGUGCUGCGUUACAACGGAAGGAACGAUAGGCCUUCACACGUAGCAUUGUUGGUGCAAGAAGCUGGACUGGUAGUUGAAGUCUUGACCAGACAGGGCUGAAAGAGAUUAGAUCAGGUACGACUCAUGUACAAUUAUUUAACCAUGCCCUUGAGAUCCCUAACCUCAGGAAAAAGAUACUGCACGGACAUGAUCUCGGUGGCGCAGCUCGGCAAGAGUUCGGGGCUUCCGGCCGGCAUGUCAUGCCGUGCAUCACGGCGCAGGAGGCAACAAUGCGAGCAAGAUUGCAUCUACAUCUUGCUAGCGCACUAUUCGCAGUUGAUGGAUGUGGCAGAAGAUUUCUGGGAACCGGGACGGAGACUGCCAUGGCAGCCAAGCCGAGCAGCCAAAGAACGAUUGUCACCAUCUACUUUUGCGUCCAACUGAAGAGCCAAAAGAUCGCGUCCAUGUUGUCCAAGAACAACCGAGACUUUCAGUGUUUGCUUGAGCUAGCGAUGCAACAAGUAGAUGCAUGUUUGAUUUAUCAAGUUGAGGUCUGACCAAUCGAUGGGCUGCCAAGAAAAAUAAGAAAUGCUUAUUUAUCCAUCAAACCUACUAUGAUUAAUACGAAGUUAGCGAUCAAAGGAAAAAUGAUGUGAGCGAUCUCUUCCGUAUGUUGGCAACUGCAAAUUAAAUGGAGGUUACAUAGGUAUACAUGACAAUAGGGUUUCAAUAAACUCAUUUGGGCCAAAAUUUGAGCAGAGUUGCAAUCACGUCGCAUCUGAAGCAUCAAGGAAAAAUCCGUACUCUGUCCAAGUCCAGACACAACCCGUUUAAGUCAACACCUGCUUGCUCCACAAAUGAGCAUAGUCUAAGAUUGUUCAUAGGGAAUUUCAUACUAUAUUUUUCUUAAUGCUGUGUUUGGAUGCAUGGAAUUAGGUCAUGGAAUUGGAAUUUGGGCCAAUUCCGCGAAUUCCGGCGUUUGGUCUGGCCUCGGAAUCUUGA